This 568-nucleotide ribosomal RNA is filed under the name fungal sp. ARIZ B370. Its description in RNAcentral is "eukaryotic LSU rRNA". The stretch from base 194 to 347 matches the Rfam family "5.8S ribosomal RNA". Lineage: Eukaryota; Fungi. The record is from RNAcentral.
UGGAAGUAAAAAGUCGUAACAAGGUUUCCGUAGGUGAACCUGCGGAAGGAUCAUUACCGAGUUUUCGAGCUCCGGCUCGACUCUCCCACCCUUUGUGAACGUACCUCUGUUGCUUUGGCGGCUCCGGCCGCCAAAGGACCUUCAAACUCCAGUCAGUAAACGCAGACGUCUGAUAAACAAGUUAAUAAACUAAAACUUUCAACAACGGAUCUCUUGGUUCUGGCAUCGAUGAAGAACGCAGCGAAAUGCGAUAAGUAAUGUGAAUUGCAGAAUUCAGUGAAUCAUCGAAUCUUUGAACGCACAUUGCGCCCCUUGGUAUUCCGGGGGGCAUGCCUGUUCGAGCGUCAUUACAACCCUCAAGCUCUGCUUGGAAUUGGGCACCGUCCUCACUGCGGACGCGCCUCAAAGACCUCGGCGGUGGCUGUUCAGCCCUCAAGCGUAGUAGAAUACACCUCGCUUUGGAGCGGUUGGCGUCGCCCGCCGGACGAACCUUCUGAACUUUUCUCAAGGUUGACCUCGGAUCAGGUAGGGAUACCCGCUGAACUUAAGCAUAUCAAUAAGCGGAGGA